GAAAUGCGAUAAGUAAUGUGAAUUGCAGAAUUCCGUGAAUCAUCGAAUCUUUGAACGCACAUUGCGCCCUCUGGUAUUCCGGGGGCAUGCCUGUCCGAGCGUCAUUGCGAACCCCUCAAGCACGGCUUGUGUGAUGGGCCCUCCCGCGUCUUGGUCGUCAAGACGGGCCCGAAAUGCAGUGGCGGCUUCGCGGUUAUCCGAUCAGCCAGAGCGUAUGGGGACUCUCUCUCUUGUCACACGCCCGCGGCGCGGACCGACGCCUGUCGACCUUUAUUCAUCUUCUCUCGGUUGACCUCGGAUCAGGUAGGGAUACCCGCUGAACUUAAGC
This 328-nucleotide unclassified non-coding RNA is filed under the name plant metagenome. RNAcentral's name for it is "partial contains 5.8S ribosomal RNA, internal transcribed spacer 2, and large subunit ribosomal RNA". The stretch from base 1 to 104 matches the Rfam family "5.8S ribosomal RNA", at positions 50 to 154 of the family's 154-position model. The record is from RNAcentral.